Molecule: ribosomal RNA, 253 nt
Filed under: uncultured bacterium
Lineage: Bacteria
Description: partial 16S ribosomal RNA
Rfam family: Bacterial small subunit ribosomal RNA
Source: RNAcentral
UACGGGGGGUGCGAGCGUUAAUCGGAAUUACUGGGCGUAAAGCGCACGCAGGCGGUUUGUUAAGCUAGAUGUGAAAGCCCCGGGCUCAACCUGGGAUGGUCAUUUAGAACUGGCAGACUAGAGUCUUGGAGAGGGGAGUGGAAUUCCAGGUGUAGCGGUGAAAUGCGUAGAUAUCUGGAGGAACAUCAGUGGCGAAGGCGACUCCCUGGCCAAAGACUGACGCUCAUGUGCGAAAGUGUGGGUAGCGAACAGG